CCCUUAGACGUUCUGGGCCGCACGCGCGCUACACUGACGAAGGCAACGAGCUUUCCUUUACCGAAAGGUACGGGUAAUCUUUUGAAACUUCGUCGUGCUGGGGAUAGAUCCUUGCAAUUUUUGAUCUUAAACGAGGAAUGCCUAGUAAGCGCAAGUCAUCAACUUGCGUUGAUUACGUCCCUGCCCUUUGUACACACCGCCCGUCGCUACUACCGAUUGAACGGUUUAGUGAGGGCCUCGGAUUGGUCUCGGCCCGCUCUUUACCGGGCGGCGCCGUUGGUCGAGAAGACGCUCGAACUUGAUCGUUUAGAGGAAGUAAAAGUCGUAACA
This 330-nucleotide ribosomal RNA is filed under the name uncultured eukaryote. Its description in RNAcentral is "partial 18S ribosomal RNA". It matches the Rfam family "Eukaryotic small subunit ribosomal RNA", at positions 1470 to 1796 of the family's 1831-position model. The record is from RNAcentral.